GUGUCGUGUCGUGAUGUUAAUUUAUCCACUGUACUAAUCAUCAACAAAACGGUAAACAAAAUUGCUAGCCUUGAUUUUCGAAUUUUGAAUAAAAGAAAAAUGUGCAUUUUUGUCUGAACUUGUCUGUAGUACCUACUAAGAAAAAAGCAAAGGAUUGUGUUGUAAUUACUAAGCAUUAGCAAUGCAACGCAACAAAAUUUCAAGUAAUCCCGCGUAUUCUUGUGAUAAUUGGUCGGAUUCAAACUGUAGCUCUUGUUCAGAUUCGGAAAGCUCUAUUCCCGAAUGGGAGUCUUGUGUUAAUCCAAGUGGCGAGUUACUUUUCAUUGAAUGUGAUCCUGUGGUUUCAUACUCGAGUAACCGUUUAGAUGCAGAAAACAACGAUUUCUCAACAAAAAAUGAGUUAAGGCACAGUACAAGGACAAAAUUUUUGAAAAUACUUAGGCGUAGAGACAGUAAACGGAGAAGUAAAAGAACUGUAAAGAAUUCUGAUCUAAUUUCCACUCAAGAUACAACAAAAGUGAAAUUUCAAGAUAAUGAGGAUGGAGAAAUUCGUGAGGUUACUGUGAAGAUUAACCAAGAAAGGAAGGCAAGUGGUAAAGAAGCUUCAAUUGAACAUCUAUUGGGCAUUACAGUUAGUACAUUAUCUGAUGGCAACCGUGUGAUGGUAGCCGGUUUUGCACCUGAUGCUGAAGCUGCAAAGCAAAAGAGUAUUAAAAUUGGAGAUUGGCUUAAAUGUAUUGAUGACUUUGAGAUCAGUUUUCAUAAUUUGAAUGAGGUUUUGCAGCAGUUUACCACUAAGAAUCAGGUGGUAUUAAAACUACAACGUGUAGCAGGUGUUGAUGUUACAAAGAAUCCUCCUAUUAAUGAAUUAAGUAAUCAAUCAAACUUUGUUCAUGAACUACUUAAUGUUAAUUCCGAGGAUGACUUAUCUCUAAGUGAAAUGCUGUGUGAAUAUCCCAUUGGAAUUGUUUAUAUCAAUACAGAUAAUUUAAGUGAAUCUGGCCCCGAGUUUGAAGGCAUUGUGUACGGUUAUCCACACCCCUAUGAAAAGAAUUGGUUGUGUAACUGUAGGGGUGUCUUUAUCACCUUGAAUCAUCUAUUACACGAUUUAACACAUUCUUCAGUACACACUAGUUCAAUGCUAUGCAAUAACAAAUUAACUCACAUAGGGUAUAAAAGGUUUGGCAGUAAGUUGUUCUUAUUAAUGCUUCCUGAUAAUUGUGCAAACAUAAAGGAGAUAUGCCUGAUUAGAGAUGAGUUACUACGGAUGUUAGAAUUUAUGUUUCAAAGUAUAGAUCACUGUUUUGAAGCUGGAGAGUUUCGAAACCAACUGGACCACUUUUUUGCACGUUUCUUUGUGAGAGUAUUGGCUGGCGACUGGCAUAAGAUGAACCAAAAGGACACGUUGCUCAAUUUAAAUGAUUCGAACGAGUGUUCCGUUUUCAAAUUUGAAAGUGUGUUACCAGUUGCGGCACACUUGCCAUUACCUGAAGAAGCACAGUUACAAAUUGACGAUGCGCUUACGGAGUUGGAAGCAAGCGAUUAUCGCGAAUGGAAUGAAGAUCCACUUGACUGUCGACGUCUGUUCACUAUAAUUGGUAGUGCAUUGUACCACUCGGGGCAUUUAUUAAGUUCUCAUUUUGUUCAUGGGGAUUUAAUUGAUGUUCAUAUGUUUUGCAGACAACAAGGUUUAUUUCAUUUGUCACGGACUGAACCUGUACGUUCUUUGGUGCUGUGGCGUGAAGUAUAUCCAGUUUCAUGUAAUCCUGGAGUACCAUCUGAAGUAAACUUUAUACCAGAAGGCAGAAGAUAUCUCCUGGUUGUGGGUAGUGGGAAAGAUCUAUUGGCGGUGAUCAUGGAAGCUGGCGGUUGCACAGAGCCUGCAGAGGACAACAUGGGACCUGAUGCAUUUUAUGUCGAAGAAGUCCAAGCGACCUUAGCCCAUUUACAGGACAUUGGUAUUUCAAACCUUGCAAGCCGGUGGAUAAAUGAAAAUUUCGGAUCUCAUGUAAUCGCACCCGAGUUUCCAAUUAAACGCAAGACCGAUUUCUUAAGUAACAUUUCAUUUGUCAAAUCAAACUUGUCGAGUUCACCGAAGGAUAUUGGAACACAAGUUCAGAAAAAGCCAGAAAUUACGUCGAUAUUAAAACGCCGCAGUUCUGAUCAUGGUCCAUUGUUUUCUUCGAGUUUAGCAUCUCUCGUUGAUGAUAAUGUCGAAAUUCAAUCUGAGGAUUCUUCUAGCCAAGGCGGUUAUAGUGAUAAAGGAGAUGUAAGUGAUGAACCUGUACUGGGAAGGCGGGCCAUACGUGAGAAGAAGAAUAUGGAAUGUUACGAUGAUGAGUCUGAUAUUGAAGAUUAUCGGGAUGGCAGCCAGAGUAACAGCAGUUAUGAUCUUUCUGAACUACGCCAGGCCUUGCUUGUGGAUAUGGCGGACAAGAGACCAGAUCGCUUAACUUUUGGGAACGAGAAUGUUUUGUAUCACUAUGUGCAGUUAGAUGAGAAGGAGGGAAUUCUUUUAUGUCCAUCAGAUGCCCAAGUCUACUCCACUGCACUGGACAUUAUUUUGAAUUCAUUCCGAAAAUGCGCGCAGGGUAUUCACGAUAUAUUUCAAAACACAUUGCGGCUAAAAGAAAUGCUUGCACAGGAUGUUACGAAAUGGGUUUUUAACAAAAGUCUUGUGGCAGUAAAAGAGUAUGGAACGCUUUUUGAAUGCAGUUUGGCUGAUGAUGCUAACAAAAAAUAUGAUAAAUUAACUUUUUGGGUUAUCGGGUAAGAUGUUACACACUUUUAUGGUGGUUUCUAUCUGCUUGCUUUCCCUAUCACGGAGAUUUUUGGUGUCGUAGUGUGCAUCUUGGUUAUUUUUAAGAAGGUUGUACUACAUUCCACAUCCACGCGAAGUUUACGUGUGUUAUCAAGAUUCUAUACCACAAAAUAUUGUUGAAAUUUCGUUUAAGUUGGGAACAAUGACAGCAUAAUGUGUUUUAAGUUUAAUCAAAGAGUAUUAAAUAUAUUAUGCUCGCCAGGAGAGAAUGCCGGUUUACAACUAUAUGGUUUAAUAUGAGAUGGCGACAGCUGUCAUUUAUUUUCAUAGACAUAUUAAUAUAUUUUGAAAUUGCAAAAUGUCAAAUAAAUUUAAUGCUCGCCAGGACAGGAGAGAAUGCCAGUCACAUAACAUCUGAUGCUGAUUUACAAUCGUAUGGUUUGACAUGAAAAACAUACGAUUGUAGACCGGCAUCAGGUGUUCUGUGACCGGCAUUCCUUCUUGGCGAGCAUAAUAUAGGUAUAAGGAAAAACUAUUUUAGUCAAAUGAGAGUUCAAGUUCAUACAGUUUACAAAACGUAUUGGUUUACGUUUAUGUCUUUUCUCUUUCUACCACAGUAUCUUAUUCACUGUUUAUUCGAUGUACUGUGUCUCAUGUGACUUCAUUCACCUCAUUGUAAACGUUUUGGAUAGCUAGGUUCCUAUAGUUCAAUUGUGUCAUAGAGGCAUUCUCCCCUGGCGAGCAUAAUAAAGAGAUUCAAUGCAUCAGUGGCGGGCCUAGACAAAAACAUUUGCCAACUCACUGUAAAAAUUUCCAGCUCAAACAGGUAUUAGGUAUUUAAUAAGUGGUAGUACUUAGUAUUAAAUAAAUAAUUUGAAAACUUAACACUUUUCUUACAAAGUGUGAAAACUGAUAUACAAAAAGAGUAACAAAAAGUUAUUGCACAAGAAGAAUUCUCCAGUGUUUUUGAAGAGCGCCAAUUUUCUAAGCGCAUUUUCCAACGAAUAUGAGUGCGAUAGUGCAGCCACUUUCUCAGACGGGCUGUCCGGGGUUUUAAGUAUAUAUUUAGCUCGUUUCUCUUUUUUAUUAUUGGGUAGCGUAUAUAACUCUGGCACCUGAGCCAAGAAAAAUCUUGACAAUGAAGUUGCACAUGCGCCACCUGUGCAUUGCCAACUUUCCUAUUUUUGUAGAUAUUUUUUAGAAUUUAUCUACAGAUGCUUCUAGGAACAUCGCACGUAUUAAAAAUGAGAUGUGUGAUGUGUAGACUGCGCAAUGUCAAUUUUUUCAUAUACAGAGAUAUUUUUUCAAAUUUUAAGCACAGGUGCUUCUACUAGUAAACGGAAACAUACGCAUAUAGUAACAAUUAAAUCUGCGCGUGCGCAGUCUGCUCAAAGUCAAUUUUCUUAUAUGUAUAGAUAUGAGUUUUUCAAAUAAUUUAUUUUACUGUUCCUAUGUUAUAGGUAAUUGAUUUCGUAUCUUUAAUACUGAUUCAUUAUCAGACCUUAACGUCGACUUGUCUUGCUGAGUAGUCCACGCAAACCGACGCGGACAUGCGGACGCGGGAGCGGUACGGAUGCGGGAAAUAAAAAAAACCUUUACAAAUAAUUGAAAAAGAUAGACUUGAACAAUUUUUUCAAUAAUUUGUAUUCUAUACCCUAUCAUAUUGUGAUCCCUAGUAUUGUGGUAUGUAGACUGGUGGCAGAUUGAGAUAGCGGUGCUUAUCAUUUUACUAUCCCAUCAGCACAAAAGACGUAUUUAUGCAACCACGCGAAAGAUAUCCCAUGCUGUCAGAUCAAGUAAUUCUGUAAGUAAAAACAUCUAUAAUUGGUCCAAUAUUGUACAUUUUUCUAGUGUAACUUUGUACUUUAUUAGACACCGCGCUUCUAUAAAUUCAGAAGGCAGAAUUUUGUCCGCAGAAGACAUAGUAUGCAUUACGAGCGCGCUAUUAGAACAAUGGGUGAUGGUAUUGUGUGAUUGUCAUUUACCUACGGCCUUGGCGUAGGCGUAAUCUGUACGUGCGACUGCUCUUUCUCGCCUUUAAAUUAAUAAUAUUCGCAAACAGUUCCUGAAAAAUCUUUUGAACUGCCAUAUUUUUACCACCCGUACGCAAUACGCAUUGGGGUAAAAAAUGUCCUCCCACUUUUUUGACGGAAAUACACGUUUUGAAGCACCAGGAAUGCGAAUCAAGCAAUGAUGCCAGUCUCUGUCUGUUGAUCCAUCUGUACUCUCAUUUCUGGGUAAACGGCUGAACCUAUUGGAACCAAAUUUGGUACACAUAUUCUUAGACAUAAAAGGAAGAGCUGAAAAGCUUUUGGGCAGAAUCGCCCAUGUGCAAGUGUGUCAAACUUCCAUUUCCGGCUAAACGGCUGAACCGAUUGGAACCAGAUUUGGUACACAUGUUCUUAGAUAUAAAAGGACAGAAUCGUAUAUGCACAGGUGUGCGGGCAAGCGCGUAGGUAAGGUGGUGGUUCACCACGGGGUUGGAAUCCGCGAUGGCGUCAACAACCGCUAUUUACGGAAACUGUGACAUUAAAAAAUAUACCCCCUGGCCCCUUGAUCAUGCAAAGGCACGCCACUUAUCACAAAUUAGACUGGUAGUCAACUUUUUAUAAUUGUGGAUAGGUGCCAUAAAAGAACUUGCAGAAAUUGUAGUGUACAAACAUUGGUACAAAUUAGGUACAAUUUAACAUUCCAUCUCUGCAAUAAGAGUGCGUAAUAUCUCAUAACUUCUUCUCAUAAUUUGAUCUAUUUAAAUAAGUAAAGGAAUGUGACGGUGUCAUGGCAGGGGUAAACCUAUUGAAUAAUCAGAUAGUAUCACAAUUCGACAGAGUGUGGCAGCACUUAUCAGUCACUUACAUAGAUAUAUAAAUACAUAGAUACAGCCAUACCCCAACAUAGUUCAAAAGGACGUACCAUCUAUUACCAUCACUUUCGACACAUUAAUUACGUAUAGCGCUAUCCUUUAUAGAGGUACA
RNA transcript from Photinus pyralis (common eastern firefly), 5736 nucleotides. It is a transcript of the gene named protein inturned, with no coding region annotated. The transcript is spliced from 7 exons. Lineage: Eukaryota; Metazoa; Arthropoda; Insecta; Coleoptera; Lampyridae. The record is from RefSeq and is a predicted model, not a curated record.